GCAUUGUGACUCAGUUGGUAGAGCAUGAGGCUCCUAAUCUCACGGUUGUGGGUUCAAGCCUCACAUUGGGCA
Podarcis lilfordi (Lilford's wall lizard) is the source of this 72-nucleotide non-coding RNA. The record is from the annotation of a GenBank genome assembly. NCBI's taxonomy places the organism in Eukaryota, Metazoa, Chordata, Lepidosauria, Squamata, Lacertidae.